This 464-nucleotide ribosomal RNA is filed under the name Vreelandella stevensii. RNAcentral describes it as "partial 16S ribosomal RNA". It matches the Rfam family "Bacterial small subunit ribosomal RNA", at positions 338 to 795 of the family's 1533-position model. Lineage: Bacteria; Pseudomonadati; Pseudomonadota; Gammaproteobacteria; Oceanospirillales; Halomonadaceae. The record is from RNAcentral.
CCUACGGGUGGCAGCAGUGGGGAAUAUUGGACAAUGGCGAAAGCCUGAUCCAGCCAUGCCGCGUGUGUGAAGAAGGCCUUCGGGUUGUAAAGCACUUUCAGUGGGGAAGAAAGCCUUGGGGCUAAUACCCUCGAGGAAGGACAUCACCCACAGAAGAAGCACCGGCUAACUCCGUGCCAGCAGCCGCGGUAAUACGGAGGGUGCGAGCGUUAAUCGGAAUUACUGGGCGUAAAGCGCGCGUAGGCGGUCUGAUAAGCCGGUUGUGAAAGCCCCGGGCUCAACCUGGGAACGGCAUCCGGAACUGUCAGGCUAGAGUGCAGGAGAGGAAGGUAGAAUUCCCGGUGUAGCGGUGAAAUGCGUAGAGAUCGGGAGGAAUACCAGUGGCGAAGGCGGCCUUCUGGACUGACACUGACGCUGAGGUGCGAAAGCGUGGGUAGCAAACAGGAUUAGAUACCCUGGUAGUC